CAGAGAUGCACAUCACCUAAUAUGCUUAAUUGGUAGUAGGCUUUCGAGCCUAUACAGCUUGGAGUAAGACAACAUGCAUGAAGAGGAUGAUGUGGACAAAAUACUCAUUUGCCUAAUAAUUCUGCACUCCCUGUAAACACCAAGCUCCUUUUUUUGUGUAGCUGACAGCUGGUAACUGUGCAGGGGCGGAUCUAGCAAAGCUUUUGCCAGGGGGCCAGGUAGGGCAUUAACAGAGAAAGGUGGACACAAAGAUAUACUUUUCUUUCUUACUCUCAUACAGGGAGUGCAGAAUUAUUAGGCAAGUUGUAUUUUUGAGGAAUAAUUUUAUUAUUGAACAACAACCAUGUUCUCAAUGAACCCAAAAA
Oreochromis aureus is the source of this 365-nucleotide long non-coding RNA. The record is from Ensembl. NCBI's taxonomy places the organism in Eukaryota, Metazoa, Chordata, Actinopteri, Cichliformes, Cichlidae.